AUUCCCCUACCCUCUUGGCCGCCCCCUCCCAUCUCCUCCUUUCUCAAGCACUUGCAGCCACACAUCAAACCCUAGCCCCCCCCAUCUCCUCCUCCCAUGGUGCCAUUCGUUGCCGCUCGGAUCUCCGUCGCGUGGUGCAAAUCUUCAACGGUUUUCGGUGGAGGGAGGAAGGGAGGAAGAAAAGGGGGAGAACUCAAGGUGAUUUUUGUGUUUAUCUCUUGUUCAUUUUAUGCGGCAAUCCAAUUGUUUAGAUGUUGCGUGUGCGAUUUGGUAGAAGGGCUGUCCAGAAUUUUAAGGGGGUGGACGAACAACAGCAGAAUUAGUGAUUUCUGGGCAUUUUUCGUGGAGAAUUAAGGAGAAUCAGUUUGGGAAUCAUGUAGAACUUUGGCAUACCUUUCCAACGAGUAUUUAUGCGCUCAAUUUGGAGUUAUAAAUUAAAAGUUAUCACCGUUUGAAACCGGGUAGGUGGCUGUCCAAAAAAACAGAUUUUCAAGGGGAUGAACAGCAGCAGUAUUAGCAGUUUCUGGGGAUUUUUCGGGAGUAAUUAGUGUUAAUCAGUAUGAGAAUCAUGUAGGGCUUUAUGUUAUCUUUCCAACAAGUACUUAUGCGCUCGAUUCGGAGUUAUAAUUUAGGAGAUAUCGUAGUUUGAAUCCGGUUAUGUUGCUGUCCAAAAAACAGAUUUUUCAGGUGGGUGAACAGCAGUGGUAUAAAGCAGUUUCUGGGACUUUUUCGUGGGUAAUUAGUGUUAACCAGUAUGAUAAUCAUGUAGAGAUUUGUCUUAUCUUUCCAAUGAGUACUUAUGCGCUUGAUUUGGAAUUAUAUUUUAAAAGAUAUCGCUGUUUGAAUCCGGGUAUGUCGCUGUCCAAAAGACAAAGAAAAACAGAUUACAGGGUUCAUCUUGUGGACUGUUUUGGGCUAAUUAGAUAUUGGAAUUUAAUUAUAAAUUGUAUACAAAACUUGUGGGGAAUUUUAUGUAGAUGCCUCUGGAGUUUUUGUUUGUUACCACUGCUGUCAUAAUUUUGAAGUUAUGAAAUUAUUAAGCAGCGCCGCUGCAAUUUGGUGGGUGUAGGGAGAGAUGUAACCCGCGGCGGGGUUUGAGUUUGUGCGUAGGUGCGGCGUCGCUUAUGAGCCUGAUUAUGUGAAAUUGGUGCACUAAGUUGGGUGUCAAAAACAGGUGGUGGACUUCCGGAUCGUACUUAGGGAUUUGCCCGAACUUCCG
Molecule: long non-coding RNA, 1219 nt
Filed under: Zea mays
Lineage: Eukaryota; Viridiplantae; Streptophyta; Magnoliopsida; Poales; Poaceae
Description: long non-coding RNA (ZMAY_LNC001789)
Source: RNAcentral